This 23-nucleotide unclassified non-coding RNA is filed under the name Mus musculus (house mouse). RNAcentral's name for it is "oocyte_clustered_small_RNA8695". The record is from RNAcentral. Lineage: Eukaryota; Metazoa; Chordata; Mammalia; Rodentia; Muridae.
UUGAGACAGAGGACGGCUCUAAA